GUAUAUAUUAUAUAGGCACAACAUUCUAUUAACAUACAUUGGGGUAAAUGAAGCAACAUAGACCUGAAAGGUCUACAAAAAGUGCACAGGUGGAGAUAUAAAGAUGACAAGGUGUGCACAUGCUCCCUAGAGAGCCAGCAACAACCCAUCAGGUUUAUUUCAAUAAUGAUCCUUCCGCAGGUUCACCUACGGAAA
Molecule: unclassified non-coding RNA, 195 nt
Filed under: uncultured fungus
Lineage: Eukaryota; Fungi
Description: sequence contains ITS1
Source: RNAcentral